RNAcentral lists this ribosomal RNA (383 nucleotides) under uncultured bacterium. Its description in RNAcentral is "bacterial SSU rRNA". It matches the Rfam family "Bacterial small subunit ribosomal RNA", at positions 30 to 412 of the family's 1533-position model. The record is from RNAcentral.
AUUGAACGCUGGCGGCAUGCCUUACACAUGCAAGUCGAACGGCAGCACGGGAGCAAUCCUGGUGGCGAGUGGCGAACGGGUGAGUAAUGUAUCGGAACGUACCUUUCAGUGGGGGAUAACGUAGCGAAAGUUACGCUAAUACCGCAUAUUCUGUGAGCAGGAAAGCAGGGGAUCGCAAGACCUUGCGCUGAUUGAGCGGCCGAUAUCAGAUUAGCUAGUUGGUGAGGUAAAGGCUCACCAAGGCGACGAUCUGUAGCGGGUCUGAGAGGAUGAUCCGCCACACUGGAACUGAGACACGGUCCAGACUCCUACGGGAGGCAGGCAGUGGGGAAUUUUGGACAAUGGGCGCAAGCCUGAUCCAGCCAUGCCGCGUGAGUGAAGAA